UGUAUUUUACAGCUGUAUUGUAGGGUGUAUUGUAGCUGUAUUGUAGGGUUGGUGCACCUGCCAAAGCAUAAUGCAAGUGUCCUAAGACCAGGGGAGAGGGAAACAACCCACAGAAGGGAAGAGAAAAAGCUCACUUGAUUUUUCAGUACAAAUACAGAAGAUAAUAGCAGGGCCUCAUGAUCCUUCUGGCUUUUUGGGUUUUAAGUAGGAGGUGUCAGAAAAGGUACCA
RNAcentral lists this non-coding RNA (229 nucleotides) under Ficedula albicollis (Collared flycatcher). Its description in RNAcentral is "Eukaryotic large subunit ribosomal RNA". It matches the Rfam family "Eukaryotic large subunit ribosomal RNA", at positions 2574 to 2820 of the family's 3401-position model. The record is from Rfam by way of RNAcentral. Lineage: Eukaryota; Metazoa; Chordata; Aves; Passeriformes; Muscicapidae.